UCUUUGGAAUUUUUUGGUGUUAUCCGGAUUUAUUGGGUUUAAAGGGAGCGUAGGCCGGAGAUUAAGCGUGUUGUGAAAUGUAGACGCUCAACGUCUGCACUGCAGCGCGAACUGGUUUCCUUGAGUACGCACAAAGUGGGCGGAAUUCGUGGUGUAGCGGUGAAAUGCUUAGAUAUCACGAAGAACUCCGAUUGCGAAGGCAGCUCACUGGAGCGCAACUGACGCUGAAGCUCGAAAGUGCGGGUAUCGAACAGG
RNAcentral lists this ribosomal RNA (255 nucleotides) under Segatella copri DSM 18205. Its description in RNAcentral is "Prevotella copri DSM 18205 partial 16S ribosomal RNA". It matches the Rfam family "Bacterial small subunit ribosomal RNA", at positions 522 to 776 of the family's 1533-position model. The record is from RNAcentral. Lineage: Bacteria; Pseudomonadati; Bacteroidota; Bacteroidia; Bacteroidales; Prevotellaceae.